UGGGCGGAAGCCUGAUCCAGCCAUGCCGCGUGUGUGAAGAAGGCCUUUUGGUUGUAAAGCACUUUAAGCGAGGAGGAGGCUACCUGGAUUAAUACUCUAGGAUAGUGGACGUUACUCGCAGAAUAAGCACCGGCUAACUCCGUGCCAGCA
This 150-nucleotide ribosomal RNA is filed under the name uncultured Acinetobacter sp. Its description in RNAcentral is "partial 16S ribosomal RNA". It matches the Rfam family "Bacterial small subunit ribosomal RNA", at positions 372 to 513 of the family's 1533-position model. The record is from RNAcentral. Lineage: Bacteria; Pseudomonadati; Pseudomonadota; Gammaproteobacteria; Moraxellales; Moraxellaceae.